This 1095-nucleotide long non-coding RNA is filed under the name Piliocolobus tephrosceles (Ugandan red Colobus). RNAcentral's name for it is "lncRNA (ENSPTEG00000001213.1)". Lineage: Eukaryota; Metazoa; Chordata; Mammalia; Primates; Cercopithecidae. The record is from RNAcentral.
AUGAGAGGCUUAUAUAAUAUUUUAAAAAACUCAAACAUAAUAAAUGAACAAGUAAAUUCUUUUUAUGAAGCUAUUAAAAAUAGUGAAACUGCCAGUGAUAAGUUAAAGCAAAUUCAAUAUAAUAGCUCAAAUAUAUUUGACCAAACUAGUAUACUGAGUACGCAUAAUGAUAAUUAUAACAAUAAAAUUGAAUAUUUAAAAGAGGAAAAUAAUCAUGAAAAACAUAUUAUCUGUGAAAUGAAAACUGGUUCAGGUAAAUCUUUGACGUUAUUGGCACCAUUAAUAUAUUGGCUUUUAAAACACAAAUUUGAUUUGUUUAUAAUGAAGGAAAACUUGAAAUUAAAAGCAGAUGAACCCGAAUGGAUAAAAGAAAGUAUAGCUGAACGGGCUAUCGAAAAAUAUGCUAACAUAUUAGAAAAACAAAAAAGAAAACAAGAAUGCGAUACUAAUAUCCUUAAUAAAUAUUUUACUUUUGUUAAUGAUAAGGUAACUUUAAUAGAACAAAAAAAAAUUGAAAAGAGAGUUGUUGCAGAAACGAAUCGUCAGAGUAAGAAUACGGAUGACAUACCACUAAUCUACCAAAAUGAAGACGCUCCGAGCAAUUACUCUAUUGAGGACUCUGACAAAAAACAAGUAACAAUUAACAUAAUUUUUUACAACAAUAUAUAUAUGUAUAUUAUGCUUCUAAAAAAAAAAAAAAAAAAAAAAAAAAAAUACACAUAUACAUAUACACACGUUUUACAUGUCUAUUUUUGGCAGAUCUUUAUUUGUAGUAGAACACAAUCGCAACUGAAUCAGUACUUUUAUGAAUUAAAAAAAAUAGAAAAAAAAAUGACAAAUGUUUUUAUAAAUAUGAUUAUUAUUGGUAGUAGAAAACAUAUGUGUAUAAACCAGGUAAGAUAACAGAAGUUGUUAAAAGUGUGUUCGCAAGCAUAUGUAUGUGCGUAUGUUGAUGAAAAUGCAACAACACAAAACAACACACACACAUACAUACAUGUAAACAAUUGCUUUUCUUUUCUUUUCUUUUAACUCCACAGGAUAUACUAAAAAAGUGUCCAAAUAUAAACGAACUGAAUGACACUUGUAAAAACAGUA